UAAAGAGUAUAAAAUUUAGGUAGUAUCAGAUGGCUUGAAACUUAAAAAAUUUGGCGGUGUUUUAAUCUUAUUAGAGGAACCUGUUUUGUAAUCGACAAUACACGAUAAAUCUUACUUGGGCUAGUGCUUGUAUAUCGUUGUGGUAAUAAUAUUUUAUAAUUAUUAUUGAAGGUAAUUUUAUUUUUGAUAUCAGAUCAAGGUUCAGUUUAUGUCCAAGUAGAAAAUGGGUUACAAUAUAAAAAUAUAUUACGGAGUUUGUGUUUUAAGGAUUAAUGAAGGAGGAUCUAAAAGUAUUUUUGUAAUAAUAUGUCAAUUUGAAUUAGCUCUAAAACAUGC
RNAcentral lists this ribosomal RNA (336 nucleotides) under Centruroides exilicauda. Its description in RNAcentral is "partial 12S ribosomal RNA". Lineage: Eukaryota; Metazoa; Arthropoda; Arachnida; Scorpiones; Buthidae. The record is from RNAcentral.